RNAcentral lists this ribosomal RNA (439 nucleotides) under uncultured bacterium. Its description in RNAcentral is "bacterial SSU rRNA". It matches the Rfam family "Bacterial small subunit ribosomal RNA", at positions 28 to 479 of the family's 1533-position model. The record is from RNAcentral.
GACGAACGCUGCGGCGCGCCUAACACAUGCAAGUCGAACGAGAGAUGAGGAGCUUGCUCUUUCAAAUCGAGUGGCGAACGGGUGAGUAACGCGUGAGGAACCUGCCUCAAAGAGGGGGCAACAGUUGGAAACGACUGCUAAUACCGCAUAAGCCCACGGCUCGGCAUCGAGCAGAGGGAAAAGGAGUGAUCCGCUUUGAGAUGGCCUCGCGUCCGAAUUAGCUAGUUGGUGAGGUAACGGCCCACCAAGGCGACGAUCGGUAGCCGGACUGAGAGGUUGAACGGCCACAUUGGGACUGAGACACGGCCCAGACUCCUACGGGAGGCAGCAGUGGGGAAUAUUGCACAAUGGGGGAAACCCUGAUGCAGCGACGCCGCGUGGAGGAAGAAGGUCUUCGGAGUUGUAAACUCCUGUUGUUGAGGAAGAUAAUGACGGUACU